RNAcentral lists this small nuclear RNA (104 nucleotides) under Ancylostoma ceylanicum. Lineage: Eukaryota; Metazoa; Nematoda; Chromadorea; Rhabditida; Ancylostomatidae. The record is from RNAcentral.
UUAAGUUGUUCAAUCCUAAACAUACUAGAACUGGAACAAUACAGGGAAGAUUAUCAUGGUUCCGUGCGCAAGGAUGACACGCAAAAAAGGUCUUCAAGCUGUGA